RNAcentral lists this long non-coding RNA (820 nucleotides) under Ananas comosus (pineapple). RNAcentral's name for it is "long non-coding RNA (ACOM_LNC028042)". The record is from RNAcentral. Lineage: Eukaryota; Viridiplantae; Streptophyta; Magnoliopsida; Poales; Bromeliaceae.
AAGGACAAGACACGAAAACUGUGCCUGGAUUGUCAGAAGGAUGUAGGUAGUAUGGAGAAUCAGAGUAGACAGGUUUGGUGCUGUCGACAGGUUUGGUGUUGCCGUUUGCUCCUUCACUUGUCGACAUGAUAAAGAUGGCAAAGAAGUUGCCACAAAAAAUAAACUAUCAGUGCUCUGAUACCAUGAAGAAAAUAUUACAAGAUGAUACAAGAUGAUUCUAAAAUAAGAAAUAGUAAUAAAAGGAAGCUAAGUUGACCAUAUCUCUAUAGGUGUAAAAUGUUAAUAAUGGAAAGCAUAUAAAACUAUACAAAUUUGUAAGAUAAAUUAUGCUAAUUUGAAUCUUGAUCUAAUCGAUGUUUGAUUUGUAAAUCCUGCUAAUAUACAACAUCAGUUUUAAUACUCCUCUAUGUCUGGGACUGUGCCGGGUGGAACUGGAAUAGUAUUAGUUUGUGGGCUCAUUGAUUACCUUAGCCGUAGGGUUAGACAGCAAUAUUAAUUAGAACCGGAUUGUGCCGAGGUUGUGUUGUUAGCGGUUACUAUGAUUUGAUCAUGUUCAUGGAUUAUAGCCUGUCAUAGCAUAGUAUGUUUGACCUAAUUACUUUAAUCUUCGAGCAAGUUGCUCCCCUCGAGUGCCACUUCGGAGAUAGAUGGUUGAUUUAAUAUAUAUUAAGUAAAAGGUAUAGCAUACCGAACUUCUAAAGUUAUGAAGUUAUGGGGUAUGUUAGUUUGGAGAGCCGUUAGAAUGGUUCCGGUGAAGUUCGGGAGCAUUCGGGUGUUUUCGGUACGCGUCGGGCGCGAAAACGGAACCCGAAAAGCUAUG